RNAcentral lists this long non-coding RNA (3760 nucleotides) under Mus pahari (shrew mouse). RNAcentral describes it as "lncRNA (MGP_PahariEiJ_G0003267.1)". The record is from RNAcentral. Lineage: Eukaryota; Metazoa; Chordata; Mammalia; Rodentia; Muridae.
UUGGCAGAAGUUUGGUUAGCCAUCGAAACAAAUCCUGUGCCCCACCCCUCUUGAAAAAUUGAUUUGAGAGUUGGGGAAAUCAGGCUUUCUUUUUUUUCUUUCUUGCCUUUUUUAUUAUUAAUAUUUUUGUUGUUGUUGGUUUUUUUUUUUUUUAAACUCCAGCGCUCAGAGGAGUGGCCCCGAGCGAGGCCAGACUGUGCGGACGGCGGGGAACACAGCGACUUCUCCAGGGGACGGCGCCAGGCGGGAGAGGGUGCCCCAAACCCGGACUUGUAGGCUAAGAGGCCUGGCCAGGGUUAGAGACUGAGCGCUGGCCACCCUGGGCAAAGUGGGCCUCGACAGCGGGCAACGCAAGGGCAGCGGCAUGCAGCUGGCGACUCCUGGGUGCAUCCGGCCAGACACCCGCGAGAAAACUAGAAGACGUCGCGUCGGACACAGGUGUGAGAAAUCUAAGGCCUUGAGCCCUGAGGUUGGGCAGAGGCCUGGGCCUGGACCGCCUUCUCUGGGUAUCUGGGCCCCGGCGCGCGUUACUGCGGGAAGAAGCCGAGCGGGUAAGGUUGGGGCGUGCAGAGCCGGGAGGCACCGAACCGCUCGCAGAGGCAGCGGCCCAACCGGGUGCACUCCGCCCUCUGCUGGCCAUAGUGUGUCUCUGCAACCGCUGUUGGGCACCGAAAGCCCUGGUUCCAGGCCGGGACUUCGCCAUCUCCUUCAGGCUGAGUCGAAGUAUCUUCUCUGUCUCAAACCCUAAAGACGUACCUCGGACUCUAAGCAAUCCGCGCAGUGUUUCACACACCCCCCAUUGUCACCCUCCCAUUUUCCCCACGCUCCCUGUGCCUGUCCAUUUCUACCCCAUCCCUCUCAGUUUCUCUUUGGCUGAAUGGUGGCCCCUGUGGCCCGGCCUCAGAGGCUUCCCUGAUCCUCUGACUGGCAUCCAAGACCCGGUCUGGACCUUUGGCUGCGUUUGCUGCGCGUUCUGCAGUGUUUGAAGCCAGGUCUCAGCACCGAGGGCACACCUGUAGCCCCCCAUUUGAUGCAUGGCUGGUGUGUUUUCCAAGCCUCAGAGUUUUGGGGGUCUCUCCCUGCGCAGCCCUGUUACCGGGCCCACUCGGGUCAGGCUGCUGAAACUGUCGGCAACUGAGUCCAGAGCUCCCUGGGCGAACAGUGAAAGCAGGAUUGUCUCUAGUUCUAUUGAGGACGAUGCUCCGUUCACAGAUGCCUGUUUCCUUCUGUCCGUCCUCCUCAACCUGCAGGCCUUCUUUGUCCUUACUUUCCAACCCUGAGUUAACUAGACCAGGUCUUCACAUUGCCCCGCAUAGUCGUCCAUGUGUCUCCGAAGCAUUCUUAGGGUUCUUGGUCUCCCAUCCUUUGCCUCUAAGGAAGAAUAACACUGGACUGGACAGGAGAACACCGGCCUAGGCCUGGAACCUACUUCCCUCCGCGGGCCUCAAGCUCCUGGCUCCGCUUGUCUCUUCUGUACAAACUGAUGCCCACCCCCGGCUCUGAGACUCACAAUGCCGGCGGCCCAUCGCUCUCGCGCGCGCCGUCCAACGCGGGAUGCUUUUGGCCUCCGACGUCUGCUGUAGAAUCCGCUCGGGAUUGUUUCGACCCGAGCCAAGAGGAGGGAGGAGAGUUGCCAACAACGGCUGGAAUCGCAAGAAACAAAUCAGGGAGAGAUCUGGGCUCUUCUUAUCCCAGAGGCGUGCAGCUCCUGAGUCCUGCCUUGGUCUCUGGCUCUUCUCCUUUAGGACCUUGCAACCUCACUCGGUACAUCUCGUGCGAGCGUGUGAGCAGGGUUGGGGAGUGGGGAGCGGUGGGAAGAGAAGGGCUACACCAGCGAAAACCCAACCGUUUGGUGCUUCUGUCCAGAGUCCGGGAGAGAGAGGACCUUCCCUCCAGGUUUAGAACCACCGGCUGCAGUAUCGGAUCUCAGCAGGAGGAGGACCAGAUGCAGCCUUGGAUCAGCAAGGAGGCUAUCAAACUAUCAGAAGCGUCGCACCGGCCUUCCUGCUCUGCCUCAAGAGCCGAGGCUAUGGAACACCUAGGCUCACUCCAUGCUGCCCAGGCUAAUGGCCCCUCAAGAUCUACGAGGCUCUGCCGCGCAGAAUCAAAGCUGUCCCAAGCCAUGGGCCAAGUCGGGAGCUACUCCUCGGGGAAACUCAGUCUACCCCAGGUCCUCGGUGAUGAAGAACCCGAAGAUCACGGAAAUGGAGCAAGGGCGCGCCCAAGGCUCAGCAGAGGUCGAUCGUUGGCAAUCCAAUUCUCGAGCAUCCAGGUACCCCUCCGAGCAUCCUAGCUGGUCUUCACCCUAACGACACACGAGUCAAAGCAUUGGACGACCACUUUCUACUACCUAAGGAAGGGCGUCUGAGGUCUCCCUGUGCUGAUGGAAGUUCUCCAGAGAGGCGAGACUGGAGAGGGAUUUCUGGGGGUACUUAUUCUCCACUGGGGGCUUUUGAGGCUGAUGAGAGAGGUUUUGGUCAGGGUUUGCGGGUGGCCGGUGAGUGUUAGGAUGCCUAAAGCCAGUAGAUGAACACCCGCAGCCAAAUCCCUCAGACCUCCAACAACCCCCACUCUGACCAUUACUCUGGACCAUCAGUCAUGGGCUUGCUCCACGUGUGGGGAAAUCAGGCUCCCUCAGAUCCAAAGGCUGCCGGCAGCUCUUGGGAAGGUUCAGAGAAGGUUCCCAGGACUGGUGACCAGAACUGAGGUCUCCUAAUGGCUACACAACGGUUAGGGACGGAAGAGCAGGUAUCAGGAAGCAUCCUCUUGUCUCAGGGUCUGGUUAGGAGACACCAGGGUAGAAGACCUGUGCUUCGUACUUCACGGUCCCUGUCUUUGCAGUGGGCAUAAAAGAGUCUUACUGAGUCUCUGGGAGGGUCACAUGGAAGUGUGGCCAGUUCACUGCAGGGCUCUAGACCUACUAUUUGAUGAUAAUUGUAUGGGAGGGUAACUUAGACAUAGGAGACUCUCUUCCUCUUCCUCUUCCUCUUCCUCUGCUGCCUCUAGAGCCAGAACAAAAACUUGUCUCAAACUCAGUCCCGUCUGGUCUCUUCCUUCCCUCUGGGACAGAUGAAGUCCCCCAGCCGGCUGCUGUGGAUUGGCCACCUGAGACACGGCCAGUGCCUGGGCACUCGUCACAGACAGCUCAGCCUUCUCACUUUGUCAUGAAACCGGAGGCUGAGGGCAGCUAGCACCGACAGUGAGAGCUUUGAGAGGCAAUAGAAUCAAGUUUUUUUUUUUGUUUUGUUUUUGUUUUUUUUUUUUUUUUUUAAGCUCUUUGGAAAGAAACCCAUUAGAGACUGUGAUGUGUGUAUUCUUGUGUUAUGUUUGCUUUUUACCAAGCACUUUCCCUAAGAAUCUCUGCAUUUCUUGCCAAACGGAUGGUUUCAACAGGCAUCCUGUCUUUAAGAAUGAGUGGCUCCCCAGUCCAGUUACAGGAACCAGAACAAAGGGAGGAUGAAGGACCGUGUUUGGAGCCGUAAAAGCCUCAUUAGGAACUUAAGACUAACUCACAGAAUCGGACACAGAUUCACAAGAGCCAGGGAGUUCAUUGGUCUCCACCCUGAGGGUCCACGGCUGGAGAAGGGGGGGGGUGGGUGUGAGCCAGGGCGGGUGCCUCUCUUAUUUGAUCUCUAUCUUAAAUCCACUUCAAAACGCUGCGGCUCAGCCGAGAAUUGGAGGUUGGCCCCUUCCUGUAAUUAUUUGGUGUCUAGUAAAGUUUUUAUGAGUGUCUGUGCAAAUAAAUGCAUCUGAUGAUGUG